AUUGAACGCUGGCGGCAGGCCUAACACAUGCAAGUCGAGCGGAUGAAGGGAGCUUGCUCCUGGAUUCAGCGGCGGACGGGUGAGUAAUGCCUAGGAAUCUGCCUGGUAGUGGGGGAUAACGUCCGGAAACGGGCGCUAAUACCGCAUACGUCCUGAGGGAGAAAGUGGGGGAUCUUCGGACCUCACGCUAUCAGAUGAGCCUAGGUCGGAUUAGCUAGUUGGUGGGGCAAAGGCCUACCAAGGCGACGAUCCGUAACUGGUCUGAGAGGAUGAUCAGUCACACUGGAACUGAGACACGGUCCAGACUCCUACGGGAGGCAGCAGUGGGGAAUAUUGGACAAUGGGCGAAAGCCUGAUCCAGCCAUGCCGCGUGUGUGAAGAAGGUCUUCGGAUUAUAAAGCACUUUAAGUUGGGAGGAAGGGCAGUAAGUUAAUACCUUGCUGUUUUGACGUUACCAACAGAAUAAGCACCGGCUAACUUCGUG
RNAcentral lists this ribosomal RNA (484 nucleotides) under uncultured bacterium. RNAcentral's name for it is "partial 16S ribosomal RNA". It matches the Rfam family "Bacterial small subunit ribosomal RNA", at positions 30 to 507 of the family's 1533-position model. The record is from RNAcentral.